UCCCUGGUGGCUCAGAUGGUAAAGCAUCUGCCUGCAAUGCAGGAGACCCGGGUUCGAUUCCUGGGUUGGGAA
Molecule: transfer RNA, 72 nt
Filed under: Capra hircus (goat)
Lineage: Eukaryota; Metazoa; Chordata; Mammalia; Artiodactyla; Bovidae
Also listed under: 1 other name
Rfam family: tRNA
About the family: Transfer RNA (tRNA) molecules are approximately 80 nucleotides in length.
Source: Rfam by way of RNAcentral